ACAACCAUUGACAUAUAACGAAGGGACCGCUGACUCACGUUCGCGCCAAAUUAUCUUCUACUUUUCGCAGCGCCCUCACCGGGAGGCAUACAUCGAACUUCCUGUUAUCGGAAAGAGCAUGGCGAGCAUCAUAGAGAGUGAAGAUCUGCAUGAUUUGAGCGCGGUGUUCGAAGCUGAGGAUUUUGAUGCCGAAGGUCCACCUGAACAGCUAUCUGUUGUUAAUACAAAUCAAUCAGAGGAGAGCGUUACUGAGGCAUUGAUUGAGGGUGUCAUUUAUGACCUAAAAUGUGACGAGUUGUUGCCAGAGCACAUUAAACAAAUGCUCGUGUCCGUGCAUGGGGAAUUCACUCACCUGAACUGGUGAACAGUGGGGUUAUCAUGUCGAGCCCCCAGUCCCCUGUGUCUCCCGAAAUGUUCCUCAAGAGGGUCUUGACAAAACACCUGGCUCAAGAUGUAUGGCACACCUUGCCUCAAAAGAUAUUUUGUACUUUCGACAAAGGCAUUGACUGCAAGGUAAAAAUUUAUUUAUGAAUUUUGCUUGGUUAUAAAAUAUUCACACCAGGAGAUUCAUUUCUCCUUAGAAUAUAUAGUAUAUACAAAUAUGUAUGUAUUAUUGUUUUGAUGUAAGAAUAAUCCACUAAUUUAUUAUCUGUAAAUUGACUUACCUGUCAUGAUGAUUCCUUCAAUUGUCUGAUGUGAAAGGACCAUCUUGUUUCUCUCCUGCUUCGUAAAUCCUGGCCUUGCUGUGACUGAGGCCUGCCAGUUACUGAAAUAGUCCAGGAAUUCGCCUCUCAAAAACUAGAAGAAAUAACAAAAUUAUGCCUGCUUGUAUGGAGCAAGGUCAGGUUUCCGUGUACGUAUGGCCUCAUGUAGUGACCGCCCAUUCAAACAAUCAAAAAACCUGUCCACCAGUUGGAAGAAUUUAGAGGUCUCUGCCAUCUCUGGGCCAUAAUAGGCAGACAUUAUUCUACCAACAGACCUGCUUAACACCUAGAGCUGCUGCUAGAGCAUGUUGGGAAAUGUGUACCUGUGCUGCCAGACGGACAUUCAUGGUCGAUGAAGGAGUGAGAUAAACAUGGUCAUACUUAAGCUUGGUCCUGUACAACUGUCCUUGCAUGUCAUCGUUAUAAACUGUCUCAACAUGCGACCAUAAAAUGUUUGAGUUGGUAUUCUAAAAUAGUUUGUAUUAGAAGAAUGAAUAACCAUAGGAAGGUGAUAGUUGCAUAAUUGUGAAUUUUUUAUUAUUGGACUGUACACAUUUAUUUCAAUUGCUCACCCACAGAUAUUUGGUGCCACCUGGACGAGACUUGUGGACAUUGUUUCUUAUGGUUUUAAUGAGGUGUGGAACAUCAGAAAAGAAAUAGAUAUUUCUUUUUUCUUCGGAAAAAGGAUUGUCAGCAAAGAACACCACAUCUUCAUUCCCUGUUCUGUGCAGCCUGUAAAGCCUCUGAUUCGGAGACGCUUUGUCGCUGGUGGAUGAGAUCACCUAAAUAAAUUGAACCUUCAAUCCACAAGUUAUCUCGAGGUAGGCCACAGCUUUCCAAAGAAGGGGGAACAACUCAUCAGCAGUUGAAGAUCUUGUCGGGAAAUGCCCAAUGCUCAUUUUGAUGUUGGAAUUAAUCCCAAUCACCAUGAAAACCAAGACAUGGGUGGCAAUUCGUUUUGUUUCAUCCUACAUAUAAGGUUUUUUGGAAAUGGAAUUAAGCAGUUAAAGUGAAAAUAAGAAGAUCAAAGAAGGAUAUGAACAGAGGAAAAGUUAUACAUGCCAUCAUGAUUUUAUUAACAUUAUGUUUCAAAACUUUUUAAGUGUAUAAACCUCAUCAAAUGUCCAGGUCUCUGGGUUGGUGAACCCUAUAACUUGCUCACUUCUCCUGUCAUAUACAAGAUCCGACUUGACCUUCAUUUCAUCAUGUAGGAGACACACAUACUUCUUCUCUGAUGGCAAGUCCUUGGCAACUUUUUUUAAUUCCUUUAUCCAAAUAGUUUAUUGAAAGAUCAAUCUAAAUUACACUGAACAUCUUUUCUAGGCCAUUUAGAAAUAUUUAUUUUACUAAAACAAAAACAUUUUAUGUAAGCCAGUACAUCAUAUUAAUCUGAGAAUGAUAUUCACCUGAAAAGCCUCAGCCUGAAAACCAGAUUUAGGCUGGAUGAAAUUAGUGUAGUCACGAAGAGUAGCUUGAUUUGGUAGUCGAAGGACUCCACUUUCUCUCAAUGACUCAUAUGCUCUGGGACUUUGGCAACGGAGAUAAAUGGCAAAACGGAUCAUCAUCGGAUGCCAUCUCAUUCCUAAUAAUGAUUAACGAAAAGGUCCAUGAGAGCGUUGCCAGAUUUACAACUUUGAAGAGUUGCAAAAAGGCCCUCUCCAACAUCAUCAGCAACGGAAGCUGUCUCACCUUUAAAACAUUAUUUUACCUCUACUCAAAGAUUCUACAAGACUCUGAAGCUUUCUGUUCUCUUCUCGGAUGACUUUGAAAUGUUUGAUGAGAGUUGUAUGUGGGACAUGUUUCAAAGGGGUUUUAGGAUGAAGCAUAUUGGGAGAAGCAUUUUCCUGUGCAUUCAGUGAGGAUUCAAGCUUAGAACAAGGACCACAUAAUGCGUUGCCCUGAACUCCUCCUAAGCAACCAUUGGCACGAAUCACACUUUUGUUGGAUGGUUUUCCAUUAAUGACGUGGGUGGAAAAAAAGCGGUAUCCCUGCGAACUUUUGAUAGUGACAUCUGGGCUGUCUUUAAUCCCAGCGCAUUUAGUUAUUUUGUCUACAGCCUCCAAAAAUAUGUUGACAUGCAUUUUCUCCACUGAGUUCUCGAAUCCUUGGACCACCACCUCUGUUUUUGGAAAAAAUUGUUAACUUGAAACCAGUCCUUGGCUGCGUUUAACUAAAGGAUUGCAACUUAUGGCCACAUUAAUGAAUGCUUAUUAAUCAGGAACUAAUAAUUUUUUUACAAAGUAUGAUUUUUAUGGAAAUCAAAAUAAUUGUAAAUAUAAGGCCAUCCUUAAAAAAAUGUUUGUUUGGAAUUGCCACCUGGAAGUUUCUAGAUAGAAGAAUGGAGGAAUAGAAAAAUAGAUUAAUUUUCUAAAUCUAAAGUUUAACUAAUUAAAAAUCGAUAAAAAAAUAAAAAUCUCCAUAUACAUGUAUUAAAAAAAAA
Molecule: long non-coding RNA, 3144 nt
Organism: Magallana angulata
Lineage: Eukaryota; Metazoa; Mollusca; Bivalvia; Ostreida; Ostreidae
Exons: 8
Source: RefSeq, a predicted model, not a curated record